Molecule: long non-coding RNA, 534 nt
Organism: Solanum stenotomum
Lineage: Eukaryota; Viridiplantae; Streptophyta; Magnoliopsida; Solanales; Solanaceae
Exons: 3
Source: RefSeq, a predicted model, not a curated record
AUUACAUCCAUAAAUACUAACCUGUAGACUUUUAUCCCCCAAAUUAUAGUUCUUAAUCUACAUAGAAAACAUCGAAAAGAUCUCUCCUUUUUCUUGAUAUACAUAGAAAACAUCGAAAAGAUUCAUCAACAGAAAGCAAAUUUUUGAGUGAUCAAAAUCAAGAAAUCGAGCACGUUGCUUCUUGUCUGGUCAUACUUUGAGAGAUAAUUAAGAGCUCAAGUGAGGUAGGAGGAAAGACUUUCCAUGGAAAACAACUCCAUUUCUCCCCUCGGAUUCUUCUUCAAAAAUAUGGUUCGCGACAAAAGCGAGACUGCAUGGGCACUAGGGAAGAAACUUGGCAUUGAGGUAUGCUAUGGUUUAUUUUUAUGUAUGUAUAUAUAUACUUGGUUAGUGCCAUAUAUUUACAUUAUAGAAUUGAUAGAGACAACAUGAUUAAGCAUAUGGGCACGGUGUUCUGGUGGUUGACCUUUAGAAUUAUGUAAUUCUGAUAGACUGAAUAUGUGUCUAUUGCAUGUGAUGAUACAUAUAAAUAAA